AUUUAAAUAGCUUAAUUAGAGUUUGAUAUUGAAGAUAUCAAGGUGACUUAUAGUCUUUAAAUA
This 63-nucleotide transfer RNA is filed under the name Tyraphus nitidus. Its description in RNAcentral is "tRNA-Phe". The record is from RNAcentral. Lineage: Eukaryota; Metazoa; Arthropoda; Insecta; Coleoptera; Staphylinidae.